This 475-nucleotide ribosomal RNA is filed under the name uncultured bacterium. RNAcentral describes it as "bacterial SSU rRNA". It matches the Rfam family "Bacterial small subunit ribosomal RNA", at positions 26 to 518 of the family's 1533-position model. The record is from RNAcentral.
AGGACGAACGCUGGCGGCGUGCCUAACACAUGCAAGUCGAGCGAGGAGAUUCCUUCGGGAUGAUCCUAGCGGCGGACGGGUGAGUAACACGUGGGCAACCUGCCUCAUAGAGAGGAAUAGCCUUCCGAAAGGGAGAUUAAUACCUCAUAACAUUGCAGUUUCGCAUGGAACAGCAAUUAAAGGAGCAAUCCACUAUGAGAUGGGCCCGCGGCGCAUUAGCUAGUUGGUGAGGUAACGGCUCACCAAGGCGACGAUGCGUAGCCGACCUGAGAGGGUGAUCGGCCACAUUGGGACUGAGACACGGCCCAGACUCCUACGGGAGGCAGCAGUGGGGAAUAUUGCACAAUGGGGGAAACCCUGAUGCAGCAACGCCGCGUGAGUGAUGACGGCCUUCGGGUUGUAAAGCUCUGUCUUCAGGGACGAUAAUGACGGUACCUGAGGAGGAAGCCACGGCUAACUACGUGCCAGCCGCCGC